GUUCAGCUGACUUGGAGCACAAGCUCCUAUUGAUCUGGUUCUACUUCUCCAGCUGGAUCUUUGUGCCUACUGAACUAUUUUUUUGUUCAUCUAAGCCAGCCUUCCCUACUUGAUUCUCUCCAGAUAUGUUGGACUGUAACUCACAUUACUCCCAGAUGCCUAUGGAAGACAUCAGGAUAUUUAGCACUGCCUUUGUUAAGCUGGGAAGCCAUAGAUGAAAAGAAGGAUGGCAUAGCCUAUGAAGAUAAGACGGCUUUCAUACCACCCGACAGUGUCCAGAACCUGCCUUCCCUGGAGCUGCUAAACUCAGGAUGCUGCACUGCAUUACGACUUUCUGGUAACAGAAUAGCUGCUGGCAACUAAUCUCUGAGAAAUACUUCAUCCUGUCAGUUCUUUGGAGCCAGAAGCCAUUUUCUGCUGUUGCCACUCACACUGAACUUUUAAAGGUCAUCCUGCCAUGAGGGAUGCUGACUCGUUUUAUCCUCAUUCAGGAAACUGUUCCACCUUGUCAUGUGAUUACUUUGAAGGGCUGUAGGGGUCUGUUUAUUCCCGUUCAUAGUUGCUGCAAAACAGCACUGUUUUAUUAGGGGUUGGCUUUGUGCAUUUCACGCUACAGUGACUCCCUCUCCAAGGCUGUCUGUUAUUUUAAUUCCCAAGGCUAGUGAGAUAGAAUUGUAACAAGUGCUGCUGUUUUGCUUUUAUUGUUUGGUUCCUGUGCAGAUAAUGGUAACUUAUUUAACUAUAUGAACUGAUGGGAGUGAUAAUCCAAUAUACUGGCUUAUAAAAAUAAUCAAAAUGCUCCCACACAAACAAUAAAACAAAAUCUACCAGGUCCAGCUGUACAAGCCACCAUGCAUUGAUAUGGAGUUACCAAUGGCAGAUGUACUUUAGGAAACAUGGAUUAUUUGUGGCAGAAAUGCAGAACCUGUGGAUUUCAAGAUGUUGCUGAGUGACAGCAUUCAGUAAUCUCAGCAAGUAUGACUAAUGGUGGAAGAUGCUGGAUGUUGUAGUUCAACACCACUGGAAGGCUACAAUGGUGAUAUACAGCAUUUUAUCAUGCAAUUCAUGGCCUAUUCUGCUUCCUUGUGUUCAGGGGUUAAUACGUUUGCUCUCAUAUGAGCAAGGCAUGUAUAGCCAUGGGAACAUGAAUUGCAUUCAUACUUAGAAUGUAUAAAUGGCAAAUGCAACAUUUUCUCAUGUUUAUUAUUAAAUUUGUCCUUGUCAAAUAACAUUGAAUAGACAAUCAAGAAGAGUGAAUAUUGAAAAAGGUUGGACCACAAUUUAAGUCUGUGAAUGAAUAUGAAUCAUAUAUGAAUUUAGAUAUU
Molecule: long non-coding RNA, 1325 nt
Organism: Candoia aspera
Lineage: Eukaryota; Metazoa; Chordata; Lepidosauria; Squamata; Candoiidae
Exons: 3
Source: RefSeq, a predicted model, not a curated record